GGUUCUAAAAUUCAGUCUUUAAAACACAACAAGAUGAUCGUAGUCUUCUGCAUAGCCCUCAAUGUCAUACUGGUUUCAGGUUCCUCUCUCAGUGACAAAGUCUACCAGACUCCAGCUAAUGUAAUGUACAACGAACAAGGAAAAACAGCCAAAAUCCACUGUUCACACAGUAUUAACAGCUACGACCAAAUCCUCUGGUACAAGCAAUCAAACGGACAACUGCAGUUCCUGGGAUACAUGUAUACAACCAGUGGAAACCCAGAGGCUGGUCUGGGUGUGAAGAUAGAAGGGAAUGCAAAUAAAGACCAAAACUGCACAUUAACAAUAGAAGAACUCAGCCUGAACAGCAGUGCAGUGUACUUCUGUGCUGCUAGGUUACACAGUGCUACAUAUCACUGCUCCUCAGUACAAAAACCUCCUCACAGCUGUGUUCCUUCCUCAGUAUAUCAUUACUCAGAUCUGUAUGCUGAGCCAGUGGUGUGUAAAAGCUAG
Non-coding RNA from Perca flavescens (yellow perch), 492 nucleotides. The record is from the annotation of a RefSeq genome assembly. NCBI's taxonomy places the organism in Eukaryota, Metazoa, Chordata, Actinopteri, Perciformes, Percidae.